AUUGAACGCUGGCGGCAGGCCUAACACAUGCAAGUCGAGCGGAUGAAGGGAGCUUGCUCCUGGAUUCAGCGGCGGACGGGUGAGUAAUGCCUAGGAAUCUGCCUGGUAGUGGGGGAUAACGUCCGGAAACGGGCGCUAAUACCGCAUACGUCCUGAGGCAGAAAGUGGGGGAUCUUCGGACCUCACGCUAUCAGAUGAGCCUAGGUCGGAUUAGCUAGUUGGUGGGGUAAAGGCCUACCAAGGCGACGAUCCGUAACUGGUCUGAGAGGAUGAUCAGUCACACUGGAACUGAGACACGGUCCAGACUCCUACGGGAGGCAGCAGUGGGGAAUAUUGGACAAUGGGCGAAAGCCUGAUCCAGCCAUGCCGCGUGUGCGAAGAAGGUCUUCGGAUUGUAAAGCACUUUAAGUUGGGAGGAAGGGCAGUAAGUUAAUACCUUGCUGUUUUGACGUUACCAACAGAAUAAGCACCGGCUAACUUCGUG
This 484-nucleotide ribosomal RNA is filed under the name uncultured bacterium. Its description in RNAcentral is "partial 16S ribosomal RNA". It matches the Rfam family "Bacterial small subunit ribosomal RNA", at positions 30 to 507 of the family's 1533-position model. The record is from RNAcentral.